This 274-nucleotide unclassified non-coding RNA is filed under the name uncultured fungus. Its description in RNAcentral is "sequence contains ITS1, 5.8S rRNA gene". The stretch from base 226 to 274 matches the Rfam family "5.8S ribosomal RNA", at positions 1 to 49 of the family's 154-position model. The record is from RNAcentral. Lineage: Eukaryota; Fungi.
UUUCCGUAGGUGAACCUGCGGAAGGAUCAUUACCGAGUGAGGGUCCUGUCGGGCCCGACCUCCCAACCCUAUGUUUAUUGAACCUCUGUUGCUUCGGCGGACCCGCCUCACGGCCGCCGGAGGACCGCCACAGGUCCUCUGGCCAGCGUCCGCCGACGGCCAACCUUUAAAACUCUGUAUGAAUCGUGUCACGAUGUCUAAGUACAAUUAUUAAAUUAAAAGCAAAACUUUCAACAACGGAUCUCUUGGUUCUGGCAUCGAUGAAGAACGCAGC